AGCAGUAGCCGCGGUAAUACGUAGGUCCCGAGCGUUGUCCGGAUUUAUUGGGCGUAAAGCGAGCGCAGGCGGUUAGAUAAGUCUGAAGUUAAAGGCUGUGGCUUAACCAUAGUACGCUUUGGAAACUGUUUAACUUGAGUGCAGAAAGGGAGAGUGGAAUUCCAUGUGUAGCGGUGAAAUGCGUAGAGAUGUGGAGGAACACCAGUGGCGAAGGCGACUCUCUGGUCUGUAACUGACGCUGAGGAGCGAAAGCGUGGGGAGCGAACAGGAUUAGAUACCCCUGUAGUCCCUGUCUCUUAUACA
RNAcentral lists this ribosomal RNA (303 nucleotides) under uncultured bacterium. Its description in RNAcentral is "partial 16S ribosomal RNA". It matches the Rfam family "Bacterial small subunit ribosomal RNA", at positions 507 to 808 of the family's 1533-position model. The record is from RNAcentral.